This 460-nucleotide ribosomal RNA is filed under the name Kwoniella mangrovensis. RNAcentral describes it as "partial large subunit ribosomal RNA". It matches the Rfam family "Eukaryotic large subunit ribosomal RNA", at positions 195 to 644 of the family's 3401-position model. The record is from RNAcentral. Lineage: Eukaryota; Fungi; Basidiomycota; Tremellomycetes; Tremellales; Cryptococcaceae.
ACGGAGUAUCAAAGAGGGUGACAAUCCCGUGCUUUACACGACGACCGGUGCUAUGUGAUACGUUCUCUACGAGUCGAGUUGUUUGGGAAUGCAGCUCAAAACGGGUGGUAAACUCCAUCUAAAGCUAAAUAUUGGUGGGAGACCGAUAGCGAACAAGUACCGUGAGGGAAAGAUGAAAAGCACUUUGGAAAGAGAGUUAAACAGUAUGUGAAAUUGUUGAAAGGGAAACGAUUGAAGUCAGUCGUGUCCAUUGGGUUCAGCCGGUCCUGCCGGUCUACUCCCUUUGGACGGGUCAACAUCAGUUCUGACCGGCGGAUAAUGGCACGAGGAACGUGGCACCCUCCGGGGUGUGUUAUAGCCUCGCGUCGCAUACGCUGGUCGGGACUGAGGAACGCAGCUCGCCUUCAUGGCCGGGGUACGCCCACGUACGAGCUUAGGAUGUUGACAUAAUGGCUUUAAA